UACGAAGGGGGCUAGCGUUGCUCGGAAUCACUGGGCGUAAAGCGCACGUAGGCGGCUUGUUAAGUCAGGGGUGAAAUCCUGGAGCUCAACACCAGAACUGCCUUUGAUACUGGCGAGCUUGAGUCCGGGAGAGGUGAGUGGAACUGCGAGUGUAGAGGUGAAAUUCGUAGAUAUUCGCAAGAACACCAGUGGCGAAGGCGGCUCACUGGCCCGGUACUGACGCUGAGGUGCGAAAGCGUGGGGAGCAAACAGG
RNAcentral lists this ribosomal RNA (253 nucleotides) under uncultured bacterium. Its description in RNAcentral is "partial 16S ribosomal RNA". It matches the Rfam family "Bacterial small subunit ribosomal RNA", at positions 524 to 776 of the family's 1533-position model. The record is from RNAcentral.